Molecule: ribosomal RNA, 468 nt
Filed under: uncultured bacterium
Lineage: Bacteria
Description: partial 16S ribosomal RNA
Rfam family: Bacterial small subunit ribosomal RNA
Source: RNAcentral
GACGAACGCUGGCGGCGUGCUUAACACAUGCAAGUCGAACGGAAAGGCCCUGCUUUUGUGGGGUGCUCGAGUGGCGAACGGGUGAGUAACACGUGAGUAACCUGCCCUUGACUUUGGGAUAACUUCAGGAAACUGGGGCUAAUAACGGAUAGGAGCUCCUGCUGCAUGGUGGGGGUUGGAAAGUUUCGGCGGUAGGGGAUGAACUCGCGGCUUAUCAGCUUGUUGGUGGGGUAGUGGCUUACCAAGGCUUUGACGGGUAGCCGGCCUGAGAGGGUGACCGGCCACAUUGGGACUGAGAUACGGCCCGGACUCCUACGGGAGGCAGCAGUGGGGAAUAUUGCACGAUGGGCGGAAGCCUGAUGCAGCAACGCCGCGUGCGGGAUGACGGCCUUCGGGUUGUAGACCGCUUUCGCCUGUAACGAAGCGUGAGUGACGGUAAUGGGUAAAGAAGCACCGGCUAACUACGUG